GAUGAAGAACGCAGCGAAAUGCGAUAAGUAAUGCGAAUUGCAGAAUUCAGUGAGUCAUCGAAUCUUUGAACGCACAUUGCGCCCUGUGGUAUUCCGCAGGGCAUGCCUGUACGAGCGUCAUUUCAACCCUCAAGCCUCGCUUGGUGUUGGGCCCUGCCCGCCGCGGCCGGCCCUAAAGAUAGUGGCGGCGCCGCCUGGCCCUCAGCGUAGUACAGCUCUCGCUCCAGGGUCCGGCGGCAGCCUGCCAGAACCCCCCAACUCUGUGGUUGACCUCGGAUCAGGUAGGGAUACCCGCUGAACUUAAGCAUAUCAAUAAGCGGAGGA
This 324-nucleotide unclassified non-coding RNA is filed under the name soil metagenome. Its description in RNAcentral is "partial contains 5.8S ribosomal RNA, internal transcribed spacer 2, and large subunit ribosomal RNA". The stretch from base 1 to 120 matches the Rfam family "5.8S ribosomal RNA", at positions 35 to 154 of the family's 154-position model. The record is from RNAcentral.